CCUACGGGUGGCAGCAGUAGGGAAUAUUGCUCAAUGGGGGAAACCCUGAAGCAGCAAAGCCGCGUGGAGGAUGAAGGUUUUAGGAGUGGAAAACCCUUUUGGUAGAGAAGAAAAUGACGGUACCUAACGAAUAAGCACCGGCUAACGCAGUGCCAGCAGCAGCGGUCAUACGGAGGGUGCAAGCGUUACUCGGAAUCACUUGGCGUAAAGAGCGCGUAGGUGGGAUUGCAAGUCCGAUGUGAAAUCCUAUGGCUUAACCCUAGAACUGCAGUUGAAACUGUUAUUCUAGAGUAUGGGAGAGGUAGGUGGAAUUCUUGGUGUAGCGGUGAAAUCCGUAGAGAUCACGAGGAAUACUCAUUGCGAAGGCGGCCUGCUAGAACAUAACUGACGCUGAUGCGCGAAAGCGUGGGGAGCAAACAGGAUUAGAUACCCUAGUAGUC
This 440-nucleotide ribosomal RNA is filed under the name uncultured bacterium. RNAcentral's name for it is "partial 16S ribosomal RNA". It matches the Rfam family "Bacterial small subunit ribosomal RNA", at positions 338 to 795 of the family's 1533-position model. The record is from RNAcentral.